This 9870-nucleotide long non-coding RNA is filed under the name Lactuca sativa (garden lettuce). RNAcentral's name for it is "long non-coding RNA (LSAT_LNC006665)". The record is from RNAcentral. Lineage: Eukaryota; Viridiplantae; Streptophyta; Magnoliopsida; Asterales; Asteraceae.
CAAGCUGAGUUUCAUUCAUCUUCUACUCCAUUUCUUCUUUGUUUUCUUAUGCUUGAUUGAUCAUUGGUGAAGAUCCUUCCAUCCAGGACCUUAAAAUUGUUAUCAGAGCUCAAACUGGUGUCAAUCAAGUGUGUUUAUUCAGUUUUCUGAUUCACGGUUGUGUUCUUCACGUUCUCGGUCUCUUGAAGCUUGUUUUUGCUCGAGUUUUAUAGAUCCAAUCACAGUUUGCAUCAUGUGGAAUAAAGAUCUGCUUGGAUUUCAGCUUUUAAGUUGAAAUCUUAUUGUUUUCGGUUUGAUCUUCAUCAACCGAAAACAUAUCCUCAAUUGAUUUCUGCUCAGAUCUAAGCUAUUUGGAAGCUGUAUUUGAGGUUUCAAGUGUGUGGAAAUCAAAAUCGGAUCGAAAAUUUAUGUUUUUCAUUAAAAACUGUUAGCCUUCGUUUCAAUCUUCAGAAACCGAAAACUGUUCUUCAACCGAAAUCUCUUGAAUCUUGAGAACCCGAAAACUGUUUUCUGUCCUUGUUUGUGUAUACAGCUGUCAGGUUUUCAGGAUAGAACAAUGGUUGUCCUUUUGCUGGUUUUCGGUCGGUGAGUUGUAUCAGACGGUUUCAAGUGUUUAAUCAUAUGCAAGCUCAGUUUCAUUCAUCUUCUACUCCAUUUCUUCUUUGUUUUCUUAUGCUUGAUUGAUCAUUGGUGAAGAUCCUUCCAUCCAGGACCUUACAAUAGAUGGUUUGGGCUAGGCAUCUACGUAUGGAUGCGUUUGGGCAUUUGUCAAUGUAUUUUGGAUUCGUUUUGUGUAUGUUUGAAGUUUUCGGUCUAGGAAGCUUUUGGUUAAGGUGUGACCGAAAACCAGUUUUCGGUCUGCUGAUGGAAAACUGUUUUUGGUCCUUUUCAGUAUAUAUAGGUGUCAGGUUGUCAGGAUGGAACAACAGUUGUACUUUUGCUAGUUUUCGGUCCCUGGGUUGUAUCAGACAGGUUCAAGUGUUUAAUCGUAUGCGAUGUCAGUUUCAUUAAUCUUCUAUUCCAUUUCUUCUUUGUUUUCUUAUGCUUGAUUGAUCAUUAGGGAAGAUCCUUCCGUCCAGGACCUUAAUAUUGGUAUCAGAGCACGAACUGGUGUCAAUCAAGUGUGUUAAUUCAGUUUUCUGCAUCACGAUUGUGUUCUUCACGUUCUCGGUCUCUUGAAGCUUGUUUUUGCUCGAGUUUUGAAGAUCAGAUCACAGUUUGCAUCAUGUGGAAUAGAGAUCUGCUUGGAUUUCAGCUUUUUAGUUGAAAUCUUAUUGUUUUUGGUUUGAUCUUCAUCAACCGAAAACAUAUCUUCAAUUGAUUUCUACUCAGAUCUAAGCUAUUUGGAAGUUGUGUUUGAGGUUUUCAAGUGUGUGGAAAUCAAAAUCAGAUCGAAAAUUUAUGUUUUUCAUCAAAAACUGUUCGCUUUCGGUUCAAUCUUCAGAAACUAAAAACAAUUCUUCAACGAAAAUCUCUUGAAUCUUCAGAAACCUAAAAUUGUUUUCUGUCCAUGUCAGUAUAUAUAGGCGUCAGGUCGUCAGGAUAGAACAACAUUUGUGCUUUUGCUAGUUUUCGGUCCGUGAGUUGUAUCAGACGGUUUCAAGUGUUUAAUCGUAUGCAAGCUCAGUUUCAUUCAUCUUCUACUCCAUUUCUUCUUUGUUUUCUUAUGCUUGAUUGAUCAUUGGUGAGGAUCAUUGUGUCCACGACCUUACAAACGGUAUCAGAGCUCAAACUGGUGUAAAUCAAGUGUGUUAAUUCAGUUUUCUGCUUAAUGGUUGUGUUCUUCAUGUUCUCGGUCUCUAGAUGCUUGUUUUUGCUCGAGUUUUGAACAUCAGAUCACAGUUUGCAUCAUGUGGAAUAGAGAUCUGCUUUGAUUUCAGCUUUUCAGUUGAAAUCUUAUUGUUUUCGAUUUGAUCUUCAUCAACUAAAAACAUAUCUUCAAUUGACUUAUGCUUAGAUCUAAGCUAUUUGGAAGCUGUGUUUGAGGUUUCAAGUGUGCGGAAAUCAAAAUCGGAUCGAAAAUUUAUGUUUUUCAUUAAAAACUGUUAGCUUUCGUUUCAAUCUUCAGAAACCGAAAACUGUUCUUCAACCGAAAUCUCUUAAAUCUUGAGAACCCGAAAACGGUUUUCUAUCCUUGUUUGUGUAUACAGCUGUCAGGUUGUCAGGAUAGAACAAUGGUUGUCCUUUUGCUAGUUUUCGGUCGGUGAGUUGUAUCAGACGGUUUCAAGUGUUUAAUCGUAUGCAAGCUUAGCUUCAUUCAUCUUCUACUCCAUUUCUUCUUUGUUUUCUUAUGCUUGAUUGAUCAUUGGUGAAGAUCCUUCCAUCCAGGACCUUACAAUAUAUGGUUUGGGAUACGCAUCAAUGUAUGGAUGAGUUUGGGCAUUUUUCAAUGUAUUUUGGAGUCGCUUUGUGUAUGUUUGAUGUUUUCCGUCUUGGAAGCUUUUGGUUAAGGUGUGACCGAAAACCAGUUUUCGGUCUGCUAACCGAAAACUAUUUUUGGUCGUUAUCGGUAUAUAUAUGUGUCAGGUUGUCAAGAUGGUACAACAGUUGUAAUUUUGCUAGUUUCGGUCCCUGAGUUGUAUCAGACGGUUUCAAGUGUUUAAUCGUAUGCAAGCUAAGUUUCAUUCAUCUUCUACNUUGUCAGUAUAUAUAGGCGUCAGGUCGUCAGGAUAGAACAACAUUUGUCCUUUUGCUAGUUUUCGGUCCGUGAGUUGUAUCAGACGGUUUCAAGUGUUUAAUCGUAUGCAAGCUCAGUUUCAUUCAUCUUCUACUCCAUUUCUUCUUUGUUUUCUUAUGCUUGAUUGAUCAUUGGUGAGGAUCAUUGUGUCCACGACCUUACAAACGGUAUCAGAGCUCAAACUGGUGUAAAUCAAGUGUGUUAAUUCAGUUUUCUGCUUAAUGGUUGUGUUCUUCAUGUUCUCGGUCUCUAGAUGCUUGUUUUUGCUCGAGUUUUGAACAUCAGAUCACAGUUUGCAUCAUGUGGAAUAGAGAUCUGCUUUGAUUUCAGCUUUUCAGUUGAAAUCUUAUUGUUUUCGAUUUGAUCUUCAUCAACUAAAAACAUAUCUUCAAUUGACUUAUGCUUAGAUCUAAGCUAUUUGGAAGCUGUGUUUGAGGUUUCAAGUGUGUGGAAAUCAAAAUCGGAUCGAAAAUUUAUGUUUUUCAUUCAAAACUGUUAGCUUUCGUUUCAAUCUUCAGAAACCGAAAACUGUUCUUCAACCGAAAUCUCUUAAAUCUUGAGAACCCGAAAACGGUUUUAUAUCCUUGUUUGUAUAUAUAGCUGUCAGGUUGUCAGGAUAGAACAAUGGUAGUCCUUUUGCUAGUUUUCGGUCAGUGAGUUGUUUUAGACGGUUUCAAGUGUUUAAUCGUAUGCAAGCUUACUUUCAUUCAUCUUCUACUCCAUUUCUUCUUUGUUUUCUUAUGCUUGAUUGAUCAUUGGUGAAGAUCCUUCCAUCCAGGACCUUACAAUAUGUGGUUUGGGAUACGCAUCAAUGUAUGGAUGAGUUUGGGCAUUUUUCAAUGUAUUUUGGAGUCGUUUUGUGUAUGUUUGAUGUUUUCCGUCUUGGAAGCUUUUGGUUAAGGUGUGACCGAAAACCAGUUUUCGGUCUGCUAACCGAAAACUGUUUUUGGUCGUUAUCGGUAUAUAUAUGUGUCAGGUUGUCAAGAUGGUACAACAGUUGUAAUUUUGCUUCAGGUUUGUGUUCUCCACGUUCUCGGUCUCUUGAAGCUUGUUUUUGUUCGAGUUUUGAAGAUCAGAUCACAGUUUGCAUCAUGCUGAAUUGAGAUCUGCUUGGAUUUCAGUUUUUCAGUUGAAAUCUUAUUGUUUUCCGUUUGAUCUUCAUCAACCGAAAACUGUUUUCUGUGCUUGUCAGUAUAUAUAGGCGUCAGGUUGUCAGGAUAGAACAACAUUUGUCCUUUUGCUAGUUUUCGGUUCGUGAGUUGUAUCAGACGGUUUCAAGUGUUUAAUCGUAUGCAAGCUCAGUUUCAUUCAUCUUUUACUCCAUUUCUUCUUUGUUUUCUUAUGCUUGAUUGAUCAUUGGUGAAGAUCAUUCCGUCUAGGACCUUACAAACGGUAUCAGAGCUCAAACUGGUGUCAAUCAAGUGUGUUAAUUCAGUUUUUUGUUUAACGGUUGUGUGCUUCAUGUUCUCGGUCUCUUGAUGCUUGUUUUUGCUCGAGUUUUGAACAUCAGAUCACAGUUUGCAUUAUGUGGAAUAGAGAUCUGCUUUGAUUUCAGCUUCUCAGUUGAAAUCUUAUUGCUUUCGAUUUGAUCUUCAUCAAUUAAAAACAUAUCUUCAAUUGAUUUCUGCUCAGAUCCAAGCUAUUUGGAAGCUGUGUUUGAGGUUUCAAGUGUGUGGAAGUCAAAAUCGGAUCGAAAAUUUAUGUUUUUCAUUAAAAACUGUUAGCUUUCGUUUCAAUCUUCAGAAACCGAAAACUGUUCUUCAACCGAAAUCUCAUAAAUCUUGAGAACCCGAAAACGGUUUUCUAUCCUUGUUUGUAUAUAUAGCUGUCAGGUUGUNNNNNNNNNNNNNNNNNNNNNNNNNNNNNNNNNNNNNNNNNNNNNNNNNNNNNNNNNNNNNNNNNNNNNNNNNNNNNNNNNNNNNNNNNNNNNNNNNNNNGAUCUAUAAAACUCGAGCAACAACAAGCUUCAAGAGACCGAGAACAUGAAGAACACAACCGUGAAGCAGAAAACUAAAUUAACACACUUGAUUGACACCAGUAUGAGCUCUGAUACCAUUUGUAAGGUCCUGGACGGAAUGAUCUUCACCAAUGAUCAAUCAAGCAUAAGAACACAAAGAAGAAAUGGAAUAGAAGAUGAAUGAAACUGAGAUCACAUUCGAUUAAACACUUGAAACCGUCUGAUACAACUCAGGGACCGAAAACUAGCAAAAGUACAAUUGUUGUUCCAUCGUGACAACCUGACACCUAUAUAUACUGAAAACGAUCAAAAACAAUUUUCGGUUAGCCGACCGAAAACUGGUUUUCGGUCACCCCUUAACCAAAAGCUUCCUAGACGGAAAACAUCAAACAUACACAAAACGACUCCAAAAUACAUGGACAAAUGCCCAAACUCAUCUAUACGUUGAUGCGUAGGCCAAACCAUAUAUUGUAAGGUCCUGGAUGGAAGCAUCUUCACCAAUGAUCAAUCAAGCAUAAGAAAACAAAAAAGAAAUGGAGUACAAGAUGAAUGAAACUGACCUUGCAUACGAUUAAACACUUGAAACCGUCUGAUACAACUCACAGACCGAAAACUAGCAAAAGCACAAAUGUUGUUCUAUCCUGACGACCUGACGCCUAUAUAUACUGACAAGGACAGAAAACAGUUUUAGGUUUCUGAAGAUUCAAGAGAUUUUCGUUGAAGAAUUGUUUUUGGUUUCUGAAGAUUGAACCGAAAGCGAACAGUUUUUGAUGAAAAACAUAAAUUUUCGAUCUGAUUUUGAUUUCCACACACUUGAAACCUCAAACACAACUUCCAAAUAGCUUAGAUCUGAGUAGAAUUCAAUUGAAGAUAUGUUUUCGGUUGAUGAAGAUCAAACCAAAAACAAUAAGAUUUCAACUGAAAAGCUGAAAUCCAAGAAGAUCUCUAUUCCACAUGAUGCAAACUGUGAUCUGAUCUUCAAAACUUGAGCAAAAACCAGCUUCAAGAGACCGAGAACGUGAAGAACACAAUCGUGAAGCAGAAAACUGAAUAAACACACCUGAUUGACACCAGUUCGAGCUCUGAUACCAAUAUUAAGGUCCUGGACGGAAGGAUCUUCCCUAAUUAUCAAUCAAGCAUAAGAAAACAAAGAAGAAAUGGAAAAGAAGAUGAAUGAAACUGACAUCGCAUACGAUUAAACACUUGAACNNNNNNNNNNNNNNNNNNNNNNNNNNNNNNNNNNNNNNNNNNNNNNNNNNNNNNNNNNNNNNNNNNNNNNNNNNNNNNNNNNNNNNNNNNNNNNNNNNNNUUUGUAUCAUGUGGAAUAGAGAUCUGCUUGGAUUUCAGCUUUUAAUUUUAAAUCUUAUUGUUUUCGGUUUGAUCUUCAUCAACCAAAAACAUAUCCUCAAUUGAUUUCUGCUCAGAUCUAAGCUAUUUGGAAGCUGUAUUUGAGGUUUCAAGUGUGUGGAAAUCAAAAUCGGAUCGAAAAUUUUUGUUUUUCAUUAAAAACUAUUAGCUUUCGUUUCAAUCUUCAGAAACCGAAAACUGUUCUUCAACCGAAAUCUCUUGAAUCUUGAGAACCCGAAAACUGUUUUCUGUCCUUGUUUGUGUAUAUAGCUGUCAGGUUGUCAGGAUAGAACAAUGGUUGUCCUUUUGCUAGUUUUCGGUCAGUGAGUUGUAUCAGACGGUUUCAAGUGUUUAAUCGUAUGCAAGCUUAGUUUCAUUCAUCUUCUACUCCAUUUCUUCUUUGUUUUCUUAUGCUUGAUUGAUCAUUGGCGAAGAUCCUUCCAUCCAGGACCUUACAUUAUAUGGUUUGGGAUACGCAUCAAUGUAUGGAUGAGUUUGGGCAUUUUUCCGUGUAUUUUGGAGUCGUUUUGUGUAUGUUUGAUAUUUUCCGUCUAGGAAGCUUUUGGUUAAGGUGUGACCGAAAACUAGUUUUCGUUCUGCUAACCGAAAACUGUUUUUGGUCGUUAUCAGUGUAUCUAUGUGUUAGGUUGUCAGGAUGGUCCCUGAGUUGUAUCAGACGGUUUCAAGUGUUUAAUCGUAUGCAAGCUAAGUUUCAUUCAUCUUCUACUCCAUUUCUUCUUUGUUUUCUUACGCUUGAUUGAUCAUUGGUGAAGAUCCUUCCAUCCAGGACAUUAAAAUUGUUAUCAGAGCUCAAACUGGUGUCAAUCAAGUGUGUUUAUUCAGUUUUCUGAUUCACGGUUGUGUUCUUCACGUUCUCGGUCACUUGAAGCUUGUUGUUGCUUGAGUUUUAUAGAUCAAAUCACAGUUUGCAUCAUGUGGAAUAGAGAUCUGCUUGGAUUUCAGCUUUUAAGUUGAAAUCUUAUUGUUUGCGGUUUGAUCUUCAUCAACCGAAAACAUAUCCUCAAUUGAUUUCUGCUCAGAUCUAAUCUAUUUGGAAGCUGUAUUUGAGGUUUCAAGUGUGUGGAAAUCAAAAUCGGAUCGAAAAUAUAUGUUUUUCAUCAAAAACUGUUAGGUUUCGGUUCAAUCUUCAGAAACCAAAAACAAUUCUUCAACCAAAAUCUUUUGAAUCUUCAGAAACCGAAAACUGGUUUCUGUCCUUGUCAGUAUAUAUAGGCGUCAGGUUGUCAGGAUAGAACAACAGUUGUCCUUUUGCUAGUUUUCGGUUUUAUCAGACGGUUUCAAGUGUUUAAUCAUAUGCAAGUUCCGUUUCAUUCAUCUUCUACUCCAUUUCUUCUUUGUUUUCUUAUUCUUGAUUGACCAUUGGUGAAGAUCCUUCCAAACAGGACCGUACAAUAUAUGGUUUGGCCUAGGCAUCAAUGUAUGGAUGAGUUUGGGCAUUUGUCAAUGUGCUUUGGAGUCGUUUUGUGUGUGUUUGAUGUUUUCGGUCUAGGAAGCUUUUGGUUAAGGUGUGACCGAAAACCUGUGUUUGGUCAUUGUCAGUAUAUAUAGCUGUCAGGUUGUCAGGAUGGAACAACAGUUGUACUUUUUCCUAGUUUUUGGUCCCUGAGUUGUAUCAGACGGUUUCAAGUGUUUAAUCGUAUGCAAGCUCAGUUUCCUUCAUCUUCUACUCCAUUUCUUCAUUGUUUUCUUACGCUUGAUUUAUCAUUAGUGAAGAUCUUUCCAUCCAGGACCUUAAAAUUGGUAUCAGAGCUCAAACUAGUGUCAAUCAAGUGUGUUUAUUCAGUUUUCUGCUUCACAAUUUUGUUCUUCACGUUCUCGGUCUCUUGAAGCUCGUUUUUGCUCGAGUUUUGAAGAUCAAUUCACAGUUUGCAUCAAGCGGAAUAGAUAUCUGAUUGGAUUUCAGCUUUUCAGUUGAAAUCUUAUUGUUUUCGGUUUGAUCUUUAUCAACCGAAAACAUAUCUUCAAUUGAUUUCUUCUCAGAUCUAAGCUAUUUGGAAGCUGUGUUUGAGGUUUCAAGUGUGUGGAAAUCUAAAUCGGAUCGAAAAUUUAUGAUUUUCAUCAAAAACUGUUAGCUUUCGGUUCAAUCUUCAGAAACCCAAAACUGUUAUUCAACCAAAAUCUCUUGAAUCUUUAGAAAUCGAAAACUGUUUUCUGUCGUUGUCAGUAUAUAUAGGUGUCAAGUUGUCAGGAUAGAACAAUGGUUGUCCUUUUGCUAGUUUUCGGUCAGUGGGUUGUAUCAGACGGUUUCAAGUGUUUAAUCAUAUGCAAGCUUAGUUUCAUUCAUCUUCUACUCCAUUUCUUCUUUGUUUUCUUAUGCUUGAUUGAUCAUUGGUGAAGAUCAGACGGUUUCAAGUGUUUAAUCAUAUGCAAGCUUAGUUUCAUUCAUCUUCUACUCCAUUUCUUCUUUGUUUUCUUAUGCUUGAUUGAUCAUUGGUGAAGAUCAGACGGUUUCAAGUGUUUAAUCAUAUGCAAGCUUAGUUUCAUUCAUCUUCUACUCCAUUUCUUCUUUGUUUUCUUAUGCUUGAUUGAUCAUUGGUGAAGAUCAGACGGUUUCAAGUGUUUAAUCAUAUGCAAGCUUAGUUUCAUUCAUCUUCUACUCCAUUUCUUCUUUGUUUUCUUAUGCUUGAUUGAUCAUUGGUGAAGAUCAUUUCGUCCAGGACCUUACAAACGGUAUCAGAGCUCAAACUAGUGUCAAUCAAGUGUGUUAAUUCAUUUUUCUGCUUCACAGUUGUGUUCUUCAUGUUCUCGGUCUCUUGAUGCUUGUUUUUGCUCGCGUUUUGAAAAUCAGAUCAUAGUUUGCAUCAUGUGGAAUAGAGAUCUGCUUUGAUUUCAGCUUUUCAGUUGAAAUCUUAUUGUUUUCGAUUUGAUCUUCAUCAACUAAAAACAUAUCUUCAAUUGAUUUCUGCUUAGAUCUAAGCUAUUUGGAAGUUGUGUUUGAGGUUUCAAGUGUGCGGAAAUCAAAAUCGGAUCGAAAAUUUAUGUUUUUCAUUAAAAACUGUUAGCUUUCGUUUCAAUCUUCAGAAACCGAAAACUGUUCUUCAACCGAAAUCUCUUGAAUCUUGAGAACCCGAAAACUGUUUUUUGUCCUUGUUUGUGUAUAUAGCUGUCAGGUUGUCAGGAUAGAACAAUGGUUGUCCUUUUGCUAGUUUUCGGUCAGUGAGUUGUAUCAGACGGUUUCAAGUGUUUAAUCGUAUGCAAGCUUAGUUUCAUUCAUCUUCUACUCCAUUUCUUCUUUGUUUUCUUAUGCUUGAUUGAUCAUUGGUGAAGAUCCUUCCAUCCAGGACCUUACAAUAUAUGGUUUGGGAUACGCAUCAAUGUAUGGAUGAGUUUGGGCAUUUUUUCAUGUAUUUAGGAGUCGUGUUGUGUAUGUUUGAUAUUUUCCGUCUAGGAAGCUUUUGGUUAAGGUGUGACCGAAAACCAGUUUUCGUUCUGCUAACCGAAAACUGUUUUUGGUCGUUAUCAGUAUAUAUAUGUGUUAGGUUGUCAGGAUGGAACAAUAGUUGUAAUUUUGCUAGUUUCGGUCCCUGAGUUGUAUCCGACGGUUUCAAGUGUUUAAUCUUAUGCAAGCUAAGUUUCAUUCAUCUUCUACUCCAUUUCUUCUUUGUUUUCUUACGCUUGAUUGAUCAUUGGUGAAGAUCCUUCCAUCCAGGAUCUUAAAAUUGGUAUCAGAGCUCAAACUGGUGUCAAUCAAGUGUGUUUAUUCAGUUUUCUGAUUCAUAGUUGUGUUCUUCACGUUCUCGGUCUCUUGAAGCUUGUUGUUGCUCGAUUUUUAUAGAUCAAACCACACUUUGCAUCAUGUGGAAUAGAGAUCUGCUUGGAUUUCAGCUUUUAAGUUGAAAUCUUAUUGUUUUCGGUUUGAUCUUCAUCA